Non-coding RNA from Cinara cedri, 477 nucleotides. NCBI's taxonomy places the organism in Eukaryota, Metazoa, Arthropoda, Insecta, Hemiptera, Aphididae. The record is from the annotation of a GenBank genome assembly.
CGAUUUAGAAUUAUCACGUUGUACAAUGAUACGGAUGAAAUAUUUAUACCGGUAACCGAACAAGUGGUUAUAACCGUAGAUAACAAAUAUAAAUAACGACAUAAUUGUAUGCAGCGCAAACAGUUCGAUAACUAGUGUACUUCAUACAGUGUAAAACAUGCGCGUGGAGUGCGGUGUUAUAGGGUAGUGAAACUUGGACGAUCGCCAAAGCGGAAGAAAACGGAUUAUUGGCUUUUGAAGCACGGUGUCGGUGAAGGACGCAUGGAAUAAGCUGGAGAGAACAUAUGACAAACGAUGAGGUAUUCGCAAAAGCUGAAGAACGGAGACGUUUCAUGAAUAGUUCGACGAAAAGAAGAACCGAACUAAUAGGACGUAUACUAAGACACAACAGCCUAUUGAAUAGAAUUACGGGAGGAACGAUAGUGGGAAAAAAUGUAGUUGGUAGACCACCUCCGGACUACUUACGACAAAUAAUGA